This 472-nucleotide ribosomal RNA is filed under the name uncultured bacterium. RNAcentral describes it as "bacterial SSU rRNA". It matches the Rfam family "Bacterial small subunit ribosomal RNA", at positions 355 to 825 of the family's 1533-position model. The record is from RNAcentral.
UGGGGAAUUUUGGACAAUGGGGGCAACCCUGAUCCAGCAAUGCCGCGUGAGUGAAGAAGGCCUUCGGGUUGUAAAGCUCUUUUGUCAGGGAAGAAACGGUAGUAGCGAAUAACUACGACUAAUGACGGUACCGUAAGAAGAAGCACCGGCUAACUACGUGCCAGCAGCCGCGGUAAUACGUAGGGUGCGAGCGUUAAUCGGAAUUACUGGGCGUAAAGCGUGCGCAGGCGGUUUGGUAAGACAGAGGUGAAAUCCCCGGGCUUAACCUGGGAACUGCAUUUGUGACUGCCAGACUAGAGUGUAGCAGAGGGGGGUAGAAUUCCACGUGUAGCAGUGAAAUGCGUAGAUAUGUGGAGGAAUACCGAUGGCGAAGGCAGCCCCCUGGGCUAACACUGACGCUCAUGCACGAAAGCGUGGGGAGCAAACAGGAUUAGAUACCCCAGUAGUCCCUGAGCGGGCUGGCAAGGCGCAU